GAAAAGCUCUAAUAAAAGUGAGAGACAACUCAAAUUUGAAGCCGGAUUCAUCAAGAAAUAACAACCAUUCAGCUUUAUUCAUCAUUGUGUCACUAUUGUUAAGUAGUUCAGUGUCUCUUAACUUUCUGCUACUGCUAGGUGCUUUUCUGGCUGUGUUCUGCUUUGGUUAUGGGAAAACAAAGAAGAUUCAGUUAGAAACAACGGUGCAAGGAAUAAAUCUGCGAAGUUUCACUUACAGUGAAUUAGAAAAAGCCACAAAUAAAUUCAAGGAAGAAGUCGGUAGGGGUGCUUUCGCAACAGUUUAUAAAGGACUUCUAGCAUUUGACAGUGGAACUGUUGUCGCAGUUAAGAAUCUGGACACAAUGAUGAGAGAAAAUGAGAAGGAACUUAAAACAGAAGUGGGAGCAAU
RNAcentral lists this unclassified non-coding RNA (409 nucleotides) under Hevea brasiliensis (rubber tree). Lineage: Eukaryota; Viridiplantae; Streptophyta; Magnoliopsida; Malpighiales; Euphorbiaceae. The record is from RNAcentral.